CGACUUAGCUCAGCUGGUAGAGCAACUCCCUCGUAAGGAGUAGGUCGAAGGUUCGAAUCCUUUAGUCGGC
RNAcentral lists this transfer RNA (70 nucleotides) under bovine gut metagenome. It matches the Rfam family "tRNA". Rfam says of the family: Transfer RNA (tRNA) molecules are approximately 80 nucleotides in length. Their secondary structure includes four short double-helical elements and three loops (D, anti-codon, and T loops). The record is from RNAcentral.